GGUGGCUCAGUGGUAGAGCAAUUGCCUUGUAUGCAUAAGGCCCUGGGUUCGAUUCCUCAGCACCA
This is a non-coding RNA of Dipodomys ordii (Ord's kangaroo rat), 65 nucleotides long. The record is from Rfam. Lineage: Eukaryota; Metazoa; Chordata; Mammalia; Rodentia; Heteromyidae.